CCCUUAGAUGUUCUGGGCCGCACGCGCGCUACACUGAUGCAUUCAACGAGUUUCUUCCUGGUCCGAGAGGAAUGGGUAACCUUUUGAAAGUGCAUCGUGAUAGGGAUAGACUAUUGCAAUUAUUGGUCUUCAACGAGGAAUUCCUAGUAGACGUAGUUCAUCAGACUGCAUCGAUUACGUCCCUGCCCUUUGUACACACCGCCCGUCGCUUCUACCGAUUGAGUGGUCCGGUGAGGCUUUGGGAUCUGAGCGGAAAGAGCGUUUCGCUGUUUCUGCUCGGAAAACUCAGUCGAACCUUAUCAUUUAGAGGAAGGAGAAGUCGUAACA
Molecule: ribosomal RNA, 327 nt
Filed under: uncultured eukaryote
Lineage: Eukaryota
Description: partial 18S ribosomal RNA
Rfam family: Eukaryotic small subunit ribosomal RNA
Source: RNAcentral